RNAcentral lists this unclassified non-coding RNA (253 nucleotides) under uncultured Parcubacteria group bacterium. Its description in RNAcentral is "contains 16S-23S intergenic spacer region". It matches the Rfam family "Bacterial small subunit ribosomal RNA", at positions 524 to 776 of the family's 1533-position model. The record is from RNAcentral.
UACAGAGGCCCCAAGCAUUACCCGGAAUCACUGGGCGUAAAGGGUGCGUAGGCGGUCAUGUUAGUCUUCUGUUAAAGCCUUGGGCUCAACCCAAGAAUCGCAGAGGAAACGGCAUGACUCGAGGAUGUGAGAGGUGUACGGAACUCAUGGUGUAGGGGUGAAAUCCGUUGAUAUCAUGGGGAACACCGAAAGCGAAGGCAGUACACUGGCACAUUUCUGACGCUGAGGCACGAAAGCGUGGGUAGCGAACGGG